AGCAGCCGCGGUAAUUCCAGCUCCAAUAGCGUAUAUUAAAGUUGUUGCAGUUAAAAAGCUCGUAGUUGAAUUUCGGGAUCAAUAUGUUGGUCGUGCCUUGGUACGUACUGGCAUUAUUGGUUUCUACCUUCUGAAGAACCUCGAUGUCAUUAAUUUGGUGUCUUGGGGAAUCAGGACUGUUACUUUGAAAAAUUAGAGUGUUUAAAGCAGGCUCGCGCUUGAAUACAUUAGCAUGGAAUAAUGAAAUAGGACGUUUGAUUCUAUUUUGUUGGUUUCUAGGAUUGACGUAAUGAUUAAUAGGGAUAGUUGGGGGCAUUAGUAUUCAAUUGUCAGAGGUGAAAUUCUUGGAUUUAUUGAAGACUAACUACUGCGAAAGCAUUUGCCAAGGAUGUUUUCAUUAAUCAAGAACGAAAGUUAGGGGAUCGAAGACGAUCAGAUACCGUCGUAGUCUUAACCAUAAACUAUGCCGACUAGGGAUCGGAUGAUGUUAAUUUUUAAUGACUCAUUCGGCGCCUUAACC
Molecule: unclassified non-coding RNA, 520 nt
Filed under: uncultured Glomus
Lineage: Eukaryota; Fungi; Glomeromycota; Glomeromycetes; Glomerales; Glomeraceae
Description: SSU rRNA
Rfam family: Eukaryotic small subunit ribosomal RNA
Source: RNAcentral